GAUGAAGAACGUAGCGAAAUGCGAUAAAUAAUGUGAAUUGCAGAAUUCAGUGAAUCAUCGAGUCUUUGAUCGCACAUUGCGCCCUCUGGUAUUCCGGAGGGCAUGCCUGUCCGAGCGUCAUUGCUGCCCUCAAGCACGGCUUGUGUGUUGGGCUCCGUCCCCCGAUCCCGGGGGACGGGCCCGAAAGGCAGCGGCGGCACCGCGUCCGGUCCUCGAGCGUAUGGGGCUUUGUCACCCGCUCUGUAGGCCCGGCCGGCGCUUGCCGAUCAACCAAAUUUUUAUCCAGGUUGACCUCGGAUCAGGUAGGGAUACCCGCUGAACUUAAGCAUAUCAAUAAGCGGAGGA
This 345-nucleotide unclassified non-coding RNA is filed under the name soil metagenome. Its description in RNAcentral is "partial contains 5.8S ribosomal RNA, internal transcribed spacer 2, and large subunit ribosomal RNA". The stretch from base 1 to 120 matches the Rfam family "5.8S ribosomal RNA", at positions 35 to 154 of the family's 154-position model. The record is from RNAcentral.